CAGUCGCCGCGGUAAUACGUAGGUGGCAAGCGUUGUCCGGAAUUAUCGGGCGUAAAGCGCGCGCAGGCGGAUCAGUCAGUCUGUCUUAAAGGUUCGGGGCUUAACCCCGUGAUGGGGUGGAAACUGCUGAUCUAGAGUAUCGGAGAGGAAAGUGGAAUUCCUAGUGUAGCGGUGAAAUGCGUAGAUAUUAGGAAGAACACCAGUGGCGAAGGCGACUUUCUGGACGAAAACUGACGCUGAGGCGCGAAAGCCAGGGGAGCGAACGGGAUUAGAUACCCCGGUAGUCCCUGUCUCUUAUACC
RNAcentral lists this ribosomal RNA (301 nucleotides) under uncultured bacterium. RNAcentral's name for it is "partial 16S ribosomal RNA". It matches the Rfam family "Bacterial small subunit ribosomal RNA", at positions 509 to 808 of the family's 1533-position model. The record is from RNAcentral.